AUGGAACACAUUGAGAAUCCUGUUGAGGGUGACAAUGGAACUCCUGUGAGGAGUAAGAGACAGAGGACUGCAAAGUCUUUUGGUGAUGAUUUCAUUGUGUACCUUGGGGAUGACACACCCAGGACUAUUUCAGAAGCCUAUGCAUCUCCUGAUGCUGACUACUGGAAGGAAGCUGUUCGUAGCGAGAUGGAUUCCAUCUUAGCUAACGGUACCUGGGAGAUCACUGACCGUCCUUAUGGGUGCAAACCUUUAGGAUGUAAGUGGGUGUUCAAGAAGAAGCUUAGACCUGAUGGUACGAUUGAAAAGUACAAGGCACGGCUUGUGGCCAAGGGUUAUACCCAGAAAGAAGGUGAAUACUUCUUUGAUACUUACUCACCCGUGGCUAGACUGACCACAAUUCGGGUGCUACUAUCACUGGCUGCCUCACAUGGUCUUCUCGUUCAUCAAAUGGACGUUAAGACAUCUUUCCUCAAUAGAGAGUUGAAGGAGGAAAUUUAUAUGUUUCAGCCAGAUGGUUUUGUAGUACCUGGUCAGGAAGGAAAGGUGUGCAAGUUAUUAAAGUCUUUAUAUGGCCUUAAACAAGCUCCUAAGGAGUGGCAUGAGAAGUUCGAAAGAACAUUAACUGCUGCCAGCUUUGUAGUAAAUGAUGGUGACAAGUGCGUGUACUAUCGCUAUGGUGGGGGCGAAGGAGUUAUUCUCUGUCUAUAUGUCGAUGACAUACUGAUCUUUGGAACCAAACUUGAUUUAAUCAAGGAGGUUAAGGAUUUCUUAUCUCGCUGUUUUGAGAUGAAGGAUCUAGGAGUAGCUGAUGUUAUCUUAAACAUCAAGCUGUUGAGAGAUGAGAAUGGUGGGAUCACACUGCUUCAGUCUCACUAUGUGGAAAAGGUCUUGAGUCGUUUUGGGUAUAGCGACUGCACGCCUUCUCCAACUCCAUAUGAUGCUAGUGUUGCCACGAGGCCUGACAUCUCUCUUGCUGUGAGCAAGCUGAGUCGGUUUGUGUCAAAACCGGGAGAUGAUCAUUGGCAUGCGCUUGAGAGAGUUAUGCGCUAUUUGAAAGGCACCGCGAGCUAUGGGAUUCACUACACCGGGUAUCCAAGGGUACUGGAGGGUUAUAGUGACUCAAACUGGAUAUCUGAUGCUGAUGAGAUUAAGGCCACAAGUGGUUAUGUUUUAACACUUGCUCCGAUUCGCGCGUUGUUGAAGCAGAGUGGCUUCGUGAACUCUUGA
This 1227-nucleotide ribosomal RNA is filed under the name Triticum aestivum (bread wheat). RNAcentral's name for it is "partial small subunit ribosomal RNA". The record is from RNAcentral. Lineage: Eukaryota; Viridiplantae; Streptophyta; Magnoliopsida; Poales; Poaceae.